UGGGGAAUUUUGGACAAUGGGCGCAAGCCUGAUCCAGCCAUGCCGCGUGCGGGAAGAAGGCCUUCGGGUUGUAAACCGCUUUCAGACGGAAAGAAAUCGCCAGGGCUAAUAUCCCUAGUGGAUGACGGUACCGUCAGAAGAAGCACCGGCUAAUUACGUGCCAGCAGCCGCGGUAAUACGUAGGGUGCGAGCGUUAAUCGGAAUUACUGGGCGUAAAGCGUGCGCAGGCGGUUUCUUAAGCAAGAUGUGA
Molecule: ribosomal RNA, 250 nt
Filed under: uncultured bacterium
Lineage: Bacteria
Description: partial 16S ribosomal RNA
Rfam family: Bacterial small subunit ribosomal RNA
Source: RNAcentral